RNAcentral lists this ribosomal RNA (1244 nucleotides) under Moestrupia sp. G4M4. RNAcentral describes it as "eukaryotic LSU rRNA". It matches the Rfam family "Eukaryotic large subunit ribosomal RNA", at positions 76 to 1246 of the family's 3401-position model. The record is from RNAcentral. Lineage: Eukaryota; Dinophyceae; Gymnodiniales; Gymnodiniaceae.
UCUCUUAGUAAUGGCGAAUGAACAGGGAACAGUUCAGCAUGGCAAUCGGGGCCCGCGGCCUUGAAUUGUAGUCUUGCGACGCUUUGCCAGCGGAGGCUCAGAUGUAAGGCUUCUGGAAAGGAGCAUCGAAGAGGGUGAGUAUCCUGUUUGUCAUCUGAACGCUUCCGCAAACAGCAGGCGUUCUGAGAUUCACGUUCCUCGGGAUUGGAGCGCAAAGUGGGUGGUAAAUUUCAUCUAAAACUAAAUAUAGGUUUGAGACCGAUAGCAAACAAGUACCCUGAGGGAAAGGUGAAAAGGACUUUGGAAAGAGAGUUAAAAGUGUCUGAAUUUGCUGAAAGGGAAGCGGAUGAAACCAGCUGUUCUCUGCAAGAUUGUCGCGUGUUUCAGUGCUUGGUAGGUCUCCCAGCGCAAGCGGGGGGCUUGCAGGUAAGCUGUUACGUGCGGUGUCUCUUGCAGGGCAGGUCAAUAUCGGUUCACCUGCGAGGAAAGCACCGGGCACAUGGUAGCUCGCUUCCGGGUGAGUGAAUAUGUUCGGUUGGGCUCACGGGUGCACUGAAGUCGGCGCGUCUGGUUGUCGCAUGCUCUCCUCCCUGCUGGAGCUUCGGUUUCGACUUUGAGGGGGGCUCGUCAGUUGCAUGGAUAAUGACCAAAUGGUUUCAUUCGACCCGUCUUGAAACACGGACCAAGGAGUCUAACGUAUGUGCAAGUUCACGGGCGGGAAAACCUGCUUGCGCAAUGAAAGUGACUGCUGGGAUUGUUGCACCAGCAACCGACCAAUCGACUGUGAGAGGUUUGAGUAUGAGCACAUCUGUUAGGACCCGAAAGAUGGUGAACUAUGCCUGAGAAGGGUGAAGCCAGGGGAAACUCUGGUGGAGGCUCGUAGCGAUACUGACGUGCAAAUCGUUCGUCAUACUUGGGUAUAGGGGCGAAAGACUAAUCGAACCAUCUAGUAGCUGGUUCCCUCCGAAGUUUCCCUCAGGAUAGCUGGAGUUGAACAGUCUUAUCAGGUAAAGCGAAUGAUUAGAGGCAUCGGGGACGCGUUGUCCUCGACCUAUUCUCAAACUUUAAAUGGGUAAGAUCCAGGGGUUGCUUGGGUGAACUUCUGGGAUAGAUGACAACUCUAAGUGGGCCAUUUUUGGUAAGCAGAACUGGCGAUGAGGGAUGAACCUAACGUUUGGUUAAGGUGCUUAACUGCUCGCUCAUCGGAUACCAUAAAGGGUGUUGGUUCAUUUUAACAGCAGGAC